Molecule: transfer RNA, 73 nt
Filed under: Phycisphaerae bacterium
Lineage: Bacteria; Pseudomonadati; Planctomycetota; Phycisphaerae
Also listed under: 3 other names
Description: tRNA-Lys
Rfam family: tRNA
About the family: Transfer RNA (tRNA) molecules are approximately 80 nucleotides in length.
Source: RNAcentral
GGGCGAUUAGCUCAGUUGGUAGAGCAGCUGACUCUUAAUCAGCGGGUCACAGGUUCGAGCCCUGUAUCGCCCA